RNAcentral lists this ribosomal RNA (270 nucleotides) under uncultured bacterium. RNAcentral's name for it is "partial 16S ribosomal RNA". It matches the Rfam family "Bacterial small subunit ribosomal RNA", at positions 88 to 354 of the family's 1533-position model. The record is from RNAcentral.
CCGGCGACCGGCGCACGGGUGAGUAACACGUAUGCAACCUGGCCGUGACAGAUGGAUAACCGGGAGAAAUCCCGCCUAAUACAACAUAAUGCCGGGAGGGGACAUCCCCUGCCGGCCAAAGGGGGCGACCCCGGUCACGGAUGGGCAUGCGGCGCAUUAGGUAGUUGGUGGGGCAACGGCCCACCAAGCCGACGAUGCGUAGGGGUUCUGAGAGGAAGGUCCCCCACAUUGGAACUGAGACACGGUCCAGACUCCUACGGGAGGCAGCAG